This 914-nucleotide ribosomal RNA is filed under the name uncultured archaeon. Its description in RNAcentral is "bacterial SSU rRNA". It matches the Rfam family "Archaeal small subunit ribosomal RNA", at positions 1 to 895 of the family's 1478-position model. The record is from RNAcentral.
UUCCGGUUGAUCCUGCCGGACCUUACUGCUAUCGGGGUGGGACUAAGACAUGCGAGUCGAGCGUCUCUAGCUAUGUUGAGACGCGGCAGACGGCUCAGUAACACGUGGCUAACCUACCCUCAGGACGAGGACAAACCCGGGAAACUGGGGCUAAUACUCGAUAGGUGAGAAUGUCUGGAAUGAUUUCUCACUCAAAGGACCUUGGAAACAUGCUUCCAUUGUCGCCUGGGGAUGGGGCCGCGUCCGACCAGGUUGUUGGUGAGGUAAUGGCUCACCAAGCCUGUAACCGGUACGGGCCGUGAGAGCGGUAGCCCGGAGAUGGGUACUGAGACAAGGACCCAGGCCCUACGGGGCGCAGCAGUCGCGAAAACUCCGCAAUGCACGAAAGUGUGACGGGGCUACCCCGAGUGCCAUCCGCUGAGGGUGGCUUUUCCUUGGUAUAACUAGCCGAGGGAAUAAGGAGAGGGCAAGACUGGUGUCAGCCGCCGCGGUAAUACCAGCUCUCCGAGUGGUAGGGAUGAUUAUUGGGCCUAAAGCGUCCGUAGCCGGCUUAGCAAGUCUCCUGUUAAAUUCAGCGACCUAAUCGUUGAGCCGCGGGAGAUACUACUAGGCUAGGAGGCGGGAGAGGUCGACGGUACUUCUGGGGUAGGGGUGAAAUCCUAUAAUCCCGGGAGGACCACCAGUGGCGAAGGCUGUCGACUAGAACGCGCUCGACGGUGAGGGACGAAAGCUGGGGGAGCGAACCGGAUUAGAUACCCGGGUAGUCCCAGCCGUAAACGAUGCGGGCUAGGUGUUGGGGUGGCUACGUGCCACUUCAGUGCCGCAGGGAAGCCAUUAAGCCCGCCGCCUGGGGAGUACGGCCGCAAGGCUGAAACUUAAAGGAAUUGGCGGGGAGCACCACAAGGCGUGAAGCU